Mastomys coucha (southern multimammate mouse) is the source of this 606-nucleotide long non-coding RNA. RefSeq lists it as uncharacterized. The record is from RefSeq and is a predicted model, not a curated record. The transcript has 2 exons. NCBI's taxonomy places the organism in Eukaryota, Metazoa, Chordata, Mammalia, Rodentia, Muridae.
AUGCAAGUGCAGACACAAAGCCCUCCUCCAGCCAGCUCCCAUUGGCUGUUUCACGUGUCAUCUGUUUCCACUGGUGGAUGCCUUUGCUGGAGUGGCUGCUAAGUGUCUUGGAUGUUACACUUGGUUUCGUGACUUGCCAGGGACACAGGACUGCAAGCUGAAACCGGAAGCUACGCUUUCUAUCUCUCUGCCACCUCUGAGUAGUGAGUCCGGAGACCAGCAAGCCUGAGGCAGCUACUCUGCUAGUCAACUCGCUGACUGACACAGGCCCUGCCUGUCCUCCUUGCUGCGUGCUGACCCUGCAUGGAGGCCAGUGCUCCCUAACCCUGCUCCGCUCCACUCCUAAAGGACUAGGGAAUCUUUGGUUGUAACAGCCUAACGGUCUGUCUCCCCAGAGGACAGUGGGACCACCUCCACCAUUGUUCUGGAGUGAAGCAAAGACUAUAUCAAGUGUCUGGAUAAAUACAUGGAUGACAGACAAGAGAGUUCAGACCCACUUCUUGGAGCCCUGAAGGGUCAGGGUUGGGAUCUGAACACUGAUCUGGGAGGAUCCAGAAGUCUGUCCCUCCUGAUCUGAGUGUUUGGAAUUAAAAUUUGGACCGGGGA